This 451-nucleotide ribosomal RNA is filed under the name uncultured bacterium. RNAcentral describes it as "bacterial SSU rRNA". It matches the Rfam family "Bacterial small subunit ribosomal RNA", at positions 20 to 507 of the family's 1533-position model. The record is from RNAcentral.
UGGCUCAGAUUAGAACGCUGGCGGCAUGCUUUACACAUGCAAGUCGAACGGUAUCAGGUCUUCGGGAUGUUAGCGGCGGACGGGUGAGUAACGCGUGGGAACGUGCCCUUUGCUACGGAAUAGCCUCGGGAAACUGAGAGUAAUACCGUAUGUGCCCUUCGAGGGAAAGAUUUAUCGGCAAAGGAUCGGCCCGCGUUGGAUUAGGUAGUUGGUAGGGUAAUGGCCUACCAAGCCGACGAUCCAUAGCUGGUUUGAGAGGAUGAUCAGCCACACUGGGACUGAGACACGGCCCAGACUCCUACGGGAGGCAGCAGGUGGGGAAUCUUAGACAAGUGGGGGAAACCCUGAUCUAGCCAUGCCGCGUGAGCGAUGAAGGCCUUAGGGUUGUAAAGCUCUUUCAGUGGGGAAGAUAAUGACGGUACCCACAGAAGAAGCCCCGGCUAACUCCGUG